GAAACCGACCUGGCUCACGCCGGUUUAAACUCAGAUCAUGUAAAAAUUUAAGGGUCGAACAGACCUAUCCCAGCAGCCUCUACACCACUAGUUAACUUUAAUCCAACAUCGAGGUCGCAAUCCUUUCUUUCGAUAAGAACUCUAAAAAAGAUUACGCUGUUAUCCCUGAGGUAAUUUAAUCUCUUAAUCUUAAAACAAGGAUCAUAUACUUACGCAUUUGUAUAUAAAUAAAGAAAAGUUAAAUUAAUUUUCCUAUCACCCCAACAAAAUAAGUAAAAAAAACCCCACUCUAAAUACUAAAAUCUAAAAUAUUUCUUACCUAUAAAACUCUACAGGGUCUUCUCGUCUUUCACAAAAAUUUAAGCUUUUUUACUUAAAAAUAAAGUUCUAAUAAAUUUACCCAGAGACAGUAAUUUUUUCAUCAAACCCUUCAUACAAGCUUCCAAUUAAGAAACUAAUGACUAUGCUACCUUUGCACGGUCAAUGUACCGCGGCCAUUCAAUAACUCAGCGGGCAGGUCAGACCUGAAAUCUUUAUUCAACAAGCCAUGUUUUUAAUAAC
This 561-nucleotide ribosomal RNA is filed under the name Trigonopterus sp. 418 MB-2014. Its description in RNAcentral is "partial 16S ribosomal RNA". Lineage: Eukaryota; Metazoa; Arthropoda; Insecta; Coleoptera; Curculionidae. The record is from RNAcentral.